AGCGAACGCUGGCGGCAGGCUUAACACAUGCAAGUCGAGCGGGCGUAGCAAUACGUCAGCGGCAGACGGGUGAGUAACGCGUGGGAACAUACCUCUUGGUUCGGAACAACACAGGGAAACUUGUGCUAAUACCGGAUAAGCCCUUACGGGGAAAGAUUUAUCGCCGAGAGAUUGGCCCGCGUCUGAUUAGCUAGUUGGUGAGGUAACGGCUCACCAAGGCGACGAUCAGAGCUGGUCUGAGAGGAUGAUCAGCCACAUUGGGACUGAGACACGGCCCAAACUCCUACGGGAGGCAGCAGUGGGGAAUAUUGGACAAUGGGCGCAAGCCUGAUCCAGCCAUGCCGCGUGAGUGAUGAAGGCCCUAGGGUUGUAAAGCUCUUUUGUGCGGGAAGAUAAUGACGGUACCGCAAGAAUAAGCCCCGGCUAACUUCGU
Molecule: ribosomal RNA, 433 nt
Filed under: uncultured bacterium
Lineage: Bacteria
Description: bacterial SSU rRNA
Rfam family: Bacterial small subunit ribosomal RNA
Source: RNAcentral